Ctenopharyngodon idella (grass carp) is the source of this 2505-nucleotide long non-coding RNA. RefSeq lists it as uncharacterized. The record is from RefSeq and is a predicted model, not a curated record. NCBI's taxonomy places the organism in Eukaryota, Metazoa, Chordata, Actinopteri, Cypriniformes, Xenocyprididae. The transcript is spliced from 4 exons.
UUUUCCAUUUGAAAGUGAGGGAUCUUCCACCUGGAAUGGAUGAAAUCUUUGCAGCCCUGUAUAAAAAUGACAGCAUAUGGACAAUAUUUGAUUUCAUACAGUAUGUAACCUCAUCACAUCAUUCUUUAAGAGAAUCUUCUCUUGAAAGGUUUUCUUACAAUGGAUUGUUGUUGCCGUUGUUCAGCAGAGAGUUUCCAAUGUGUAUCUCGGCUCCAUCAAGUCUUUCAGGACAGCAGUCUUUUCUGUUGGUGAUAGUUAUGGAGGUCACUACGUACUGGUCUAGUAAAUCUAACCUCCACCAUGGGUCAUCUUGUGUAGGAGUAGCAGUACAGGAUCCAUGUUCAUAAUGUGAGUCACGAUUUCCAUCAAUAGCAUUACUGGCAUGACCAAAUGGCGCCCAAGGAUUUCCAACCAGGUCUGACUGUGUGGCCUUGCCAUAUAAAGCGAGAUUUUUGGCUAAAUUGAUAAAGCAUAGUCAAAAUGUGUAAUAAAAACAAGGAAAUGAAUAAAUCAAAAUAAUAAUAAUAAUAAAACAUUUGACCAUAUAAUAUUUCACUUUUGAUUUCAAUUAUUUCUCAGGAUUUAUUUAUUUAUUUAUAUUUUUGACAGUAAAUUUCUGUAUAGAUGUAUCUACCUACUCAGUCUAUAGCUAAAUAAAGCAAUCAUUUUACAUUUAUAACAGCUAAGGGGCGUUGUUAGGCACAACACGGAGUGGACCCCCUUAGAUGUUAGACUAUAAAUUCACUAUAAACCACGGCUUCACUGGUGUCACGUUUUGGUUUUGUGUUCAUGUUUAUGAUUUCAUGUCUUUUAUUUUGUAGUUUGAUUCAUGUUGCUUGUUUGUGUCAUGCUUCCCUUGCUCCUCAUGUUCUCCCUUAGUCUAUGUGUCAUGUUCUGAUUGGGUGUUUAUGGUCAUGUGGUUUUCAGUUCUGUUCUGUCAUUGGUUCCCUUGUUCCUUGUGUCUCUUGCUCAUUGGUUGUCAUAGUCAUGUGUUCUCCUAGUUCAUAUAUUUAAGCCAUUGUCUUCCCCAUGUUACUUUGUUGUGUAUUGUUAAUGUAACCCUGCUGUCGGUGAGUGUGAUAGUCAAGUCUGCUCAUCAUCAAGUCUGUUUAUGUUCAAUUCUAAUGGUUGCUUUGUUUGUUUGUUUGUUUGUUCACUUUGGAUAAUUCAAUAAACUGCACUUGGGUUCAUCAAGCUCGCCUUCAGUCUGGACUAAUCGUUACAGAAUACAUGACCAAGAAACAUGGGGAAGACAAUGGCUCAAAUAUAUGAACUAGGAGAACACAUGACUAUGACAACCAAUGAGCAAGAGACACAAGGAACAAGGGAACCAAUGACAGAACAGAACUGAAAACCACAUGACCAUAAACACCCAAUCAGAAUAUGACACAUAGACUAAGGGAGAACAUGAGGAGCAAGGGAAGCAUGACACAAACAAGCAACAUAAUCAAACUACAAAAUAAAAGACAUAAAAUCAUAAACCAAAACAUACGUGACAACGGGCUUCUUGCUUUUAUAAAACGGUUACCACACAAUACAAAUAUUAAAGCCAUAAAAUAUGUAUCAAUGCAACUUUCAUGAAAUAAAAACUUUAAAAGCCUUCCUUCCACUGGAAAAAUAGUCCCUGACCAUGAACAGCAACAGAAGUUACAUUAUUACGCCAUUAGAUGCCGGCAAAGAUUGUCUUUAUGAGCGAGUCACUCAGUCGCAAAGACUUUUAUAUUGAAACUUGUUGUGAACACGGAACCAAACGCAUAUGACAAGCUUUGACUAGCGCUGUCAGUGUCAGCAGGGCACGGGAAAACCCAUUAAACGGAUUUUUUAUUAUGAACUUAAGACUGACCUGAAGGAAAAAGCUAAAUCUGAAUGCAGGUAAUAAACUCGGCCACUUGACAUCUCUCUCACAAUACUCUUCUACAAAAUGCAGUAGGCUUCAAUGAACAAAAUCAAUUGAGAACGAACACGUUUACGUUUCUAAGAGCGGUUGCUAAGACAGACGCAGCAACAUACACACUCAGUGGCACAGCGAUACUUAUGUAAUGCGGUCAGCUGUAUAUUUUCAGGGAUUUUACAAUGGCUUCGUCCGCGGCUCAACCAAUCAGGAUCAAGGGCCGGAACUAUCCGUUUUUAAAAAAACAAUUGUACACUUCCACCUUCAUUGCCAAGGAGAAGACACAGUCCUUUUGUGACAAUAUGCUCCUAUAUUGGGUAUUUAAAAAAAAUAUGAAAUGCUAUCUGAAAACAUCUUUUACAUUAAAAGCAUUUUUUUUUUCAGCAAAAUGUAAACAAUUAUGAUUUCAUAAAACAACAAUAAACACUUCCUAAAAAAGUAAAAAAGGGAACAUGAAAAAAUAUCAAACCAUAGUUUUGUCCAGAAGACAUUUAAUGAAUUGUAUAAAAGUACAACAUAUAAAUCAUAGGUGACAACUCGCCUUGAUAAAAAUAUAUGACAUGUGCAGUGAUCAGUGUUUAUAAUGUCUGUUUAAUUGAAACCGUUUGUGUAAU